Long non-coding RNA from Carassius auratus (goldfish), 1980 nucleotides. RefSeq lists it as uncharacterized. The transcript has 3 exons. Lineage: Eukaryota; Metazoa; Chordata; Actinopteri; Cypriniformes; Cyprinidae. The record is from RefSeq and is a predicted model, not a curated record.
CUUAAUGAGAACAAAAUGCUGAGUGCACCUUUUAAUUUACACCCAAAAACUUUUAUAUGUUUGUGUUGUUAAAAAAAAGUUUGAGGAGAGGGUUAAAUUUAAAGAAAAUCGGCAGAAAGCAACGACUGAAGUGUGAAAUCAUCUACUUUCACUGUCCACCUCAGAAUAACCCUCUCUCUUCAGUUUGAAAACUGGUUGUUGCUUCGGUCGUAAUUGGCCGUUUCGGAGGCACAUUGUCCGUGUCUUUUGAGCUCGCAGGUGUACGUAGUAAGCCACUGAAUCCGGAGAGGCUCCCUUGGACCACUUUGUUCUCUUUUCUCGCUUCCCGCUGUGCGGAAAAUUAGCGUUGCCGUCGUUUCUGGCCGUUUUCUCCUCGGGUUUAACCCCCUCAUCUCCUAAUGCCACCUCAUGAAAAUGUCAGAGCUCGCUGCGGCUAAUCGGAGGGCGAAGGGAGGGGAAGAGAUGUGUACUUUACAUCUACCCUGAUAACAGUUCAGGCGUGUUCCUAAGUUAGAUGAAGUAAAUCAUUAUCCAUUAUCAUUAAAAAAAAAAAAAAAAACGUUUAAAGGAAGAAAAAUAAGACCACAUUGUUUGGCGUAUAGUCAGACGGCUUGUUGUGACUAAGUUUGGGGGGUGAGGGCGAGAUGGGCGACUGAGGGUGUCUAGAUGUGUGAGGGUGCGGGAUGCUCCGCUGAGACACACAAAAUCACUUGGCAACCACCACGCAGGCUUCAGCGAACUGUUACCGUGGUAAACUGUUGGGUUUCCAGUUUGGAAGAUUAAAGACAAAAUUCGAUUUUAAUGAAUUGAUAGAAUGAGCACGAUGUCUUUGAUUGAUUUGCUAAGUCGCGUUUUAUUAUUAUUAUUAUUUUUAAAAGUUUAAAAUUAUUUGACAGCUAUUUCGUCAUAAAGCCGGAAACGAGAUUAAUGGUUGCUGUGGAAACUGGGGGGGUGCGUAAUAUUUACAUGCAUUCCGAGGGAGCCGCUCCCCUCCUGCACGCACAGCCUUCACUCCCCAGCACAACAGCUGACAUAAAAACUGCUUAUAUGAAGAAUCUGCUGAUUAUGGAAAAACAUCAGCUUGGCUGACAUGAGGUCUGUUCACAUCAGAACUUGUUUCAUCACUCUCUUGUACGAUGACUUGUCAGUCGUACCUCAGACGUUGUGUAUGCACAGGUGAGUGAGUGGGCGUACAUUUUUCUUCCCUUUUUUUAACCGAGCCGCUACGGUUGGUUGAAAUGCCACCAGGGCUGGAUACACGCAUGUGUGUGAGUCAGCCUAGAUGAGCGCUGCCUGUCACGCAAUAACAGGAGGGUGGACAGACUCAUCCGAUAACAGUCAAUGUUGUGUCUGCCACAUGUCAAAUGUAAUUUUAUAGGCUUAAAAAUCUGUUUGUGUACAUGUUGUGUUGUGUGUACAGACAAACAGUAGUCUAUAAAAAGUAAAAGACGAGAACAAAACAAGGUAAAGCAACAAAUCUGCACAGCAUAGGCGCGGGACGUUUCUGGCAAAUCUAUCAACAUCCUGUAUCUUGAGCUAUCUUUUAAAAUCCAGAUUUGGAUGCUAUUCUAAGUUUGUGUAGGUGUGUAGCGUAAGUUUUUCUCUUGAUGUAUUCAGGAGGAAAUAGAAUUAAACACAUGGAUUUUUAGCUUGUCAACAAAACAUAUCUACAUCAAAAGACUUGGCAUAAGGCCAAAGCAGUAGUCUACCUGUCUGCUUAGCUCAUAGUUGGCAGUGUCCACAGCAAAAGGAGGUUUUUUUUGGGCAAGGCAACUAAAACACCUCUAUAAAUUAGUUUGUUGUUGUUGUUGUUGUUUGUCAAAAUGAAUUGAAUAUGAGUUAUUACUUCAACUCAGUCUCAGCAAACCCAUUACAAACUUUUUAAUAGGGCCAGUUUUACACAACACUGUAAAGUGAUCAAACUUUAAAAGACUAAAUGAUACAGUAAAUUGGUUAACAGUAAGUUCCCUUACUAUAUAC